UAACGCGUGGAUAACCUGCCUUGCACUGGGGAUAACACUUAGAAAUAGGUGCUAAUACCGCAUAAGCGCACAGAGCCGCAUGGCUCAGUGUGAAAAACUCCGGUGGUGUAAGAUGGAUCCGCGUCUGAUUAGCUGGUUGGCGGGGUAGAAGCCCACCAAGGCGACGAUCAGUAGCCGGCCUGAGAGGGUGAACGGCCACAUUGGGACUGAGACACGGCCCAAACUCCUACGGAAGGCAGCAG
Molecule: ribosomal RNA, 242 nt
Filed under: uncultured bacterium
Lineage: Bacteria
Description: partial 16S ribosomal RNA
Rfam family: Bacterial small subunit ribosomal RNA
Source: RNAcentral